GAUGAACGCUGGCGGCGCGCCUAACACAUGCAAGUCGAACGGAUAAAUCACCUUUUAGGUGUGUAUAAAGUGGCGAACGGCUGAUUAACACGUGGGCAACCUGCCCUCCUCUUGGGGGUAGCCUCGGGAAACCGAGGAUAAUACCCGAUACUUCAAUGUGGCCGCAUGACGACAUUGAGAAAGCUUUUGCCGGGAAGGAUGGGCGCGCGGCCUCUUAGCUUGUUGGUGGGGUAGAGGGCUACCAAGGUAAUGAGGGGUAGCUGGGUUGAGAGACCGACCAGCGAGCCAGGGACUGAGAGAAGGCCGAGGCAGGGACGGGAGGGAGAAGGGGGGAAGCCUGACGAAUGGGCGCAGGCCGGAUGCAGCGACGCUGCGGGCGGGAAGAAGGCCUUAGGGUUGAAAAACGAAUUCAGCAGGGACGAGGCGCUAAGUGACGGUACCUGCAGAAGAAGCCACGGCUAACUACGUG
Molecule: ribosomal RNA, 469 nt
Filed under: uncultured bacterium
Lineage: Bacteria
Description: partial 16S ribosomal RNA
Rfam family: Bacterial small subunit ribosomal RNA
Source: RNAcentral